This 766-nucleotide non-coding RNA is filed under the name Andrena bicolor. The record is from RNAcentral. Lineage: Eukaryota; Metazoa; Arthropoda; Insecta; Hymenoptera; Andrenidae.
AAAUAAUUUAAUUUCGGUUAGGUAAUUAAUUGAAUUAAUUGAUCUAUAAAUUUAGUUUUAAAAUUGAGGUUAUUUAAAUAAUAAUUUUUAUGUAGAGAUUUGAUUUAAAAAUAAAUGAAAGUUUGAUUUAGUAAUUAAAUUUAAUAAAGGUAAUUUUAGUGCCAGCAACAGCGGUUAGACUAAAUUUGUAAAUUAAUUUAUUUAAUUUUUGAAUUAAUGUGUAUUAUUUUGAUGUUAAUUAAAUUUAUUAAAAGGUUGGUGAAAUAUCUUUUUUAUAAAAUGUUAAUUUUUAUUUUACUAAUAUUUGUUAAAUUUUUGUAUAAACUAGGAUUAGAUACCCUACUAUAAAAAUAAUUUUGAUUGAAUUAACUAUUAAAUGUAAAUCAUUAAAAUUAAUAAAUAUGGCGGCUUUAUAAUUUAUUUAGAGGAAUUUGUAUUUUAAUUGAUACCCCACAAUAGGAGUAACUAUAAUUAAUCUUUGUAUAUUGCUGUUUGAAGAGUUUAUUUAUAUAUAUAUUCUUGUAAUAUUUAAUAAAAUAUUAAUUCAAGUCAAAAUGCAGGAUAUUAUUGAUUAUAUGAAUUACAUUAAAUUUAAUUUUUGGAUAAAUUAUUUUAAUAUAAUUUUGAAAUUGGAUUUAAAAGUAAAUUUAUUUAAUUAAAUUUAUUGAAGAUAAUUUUGUUUAGUGUACAAAUUGCCCGUCAUUCUCAUUAUAAGUGAGGAAAGUCGUAACAUAGUAAAUGUACUGGAAAGUGUAUUUUGUUAAAA